Molecule: ribosomal RNA, 598 nt
Filed under: Saccharomyces cerevisiae (brewer's yeast)
Lineage: Eukaryota; Fungi; Ascomycota; Saccharomycetes; Saccharomycetales; Saccharomycetaceae
Description: partial large subunit ribosomal RNA
Rfam family: Eukaryotic large subunit ribosomal RNA
Source: RNAcentral
AAGCGGAGGAAAGGAAACCAACCGGGAUUGCCUUAGUAACGGCGAGUGAAGCGGCAAAAGCUCAAAUUUGAAAUCUGGUACCUUCGGUGCCCGAGUUGUAAUUUGGAGAGGGCAACUUUGGGGCCGUUCCUUGUCUAUGUUCCUUGGAACAGGACGUCAUAGAGGGUGAGAAUCCCGUGUGGCGAGGAGUGCGGUUCUUUGUAAAGUGCCUUCGAAGAGUCGAGUUGUUUGGGAAUGCAGCUCUAAGUGGGUGGUAAAUUCCAUCUAAAGCUAAAUAUUGGCGAGAGACCGAUAGCGAACAAGUACAGUGAUGGAAAGAUGAAAAGAACUUUGAAAAGAGAGUGAAAAAGUACGUGAAAUUGUUGAAAGGGAAGGGCAUUUGAUCAGACAUGGUGUUUUGUGCCCUCUGCUCCUUGUGGGUAGGGGAAUCUCGCAUUUCACUGGGCCAGCAUCAGUUUUGGUGGCAGGAUAAAUCCAUAGGAAUGUAGCUUGCCUCGGUAAGUAUUAUAGCCUGUGGGAAUACUGCCAGCUGGGACUGAGGACUGCGACGUAAGUCAAGGAUGCUGGCAUAAUGGUUAUAUGCCGCCCGUCUUGAAAC